RNAcentral lists this ribosomal RNA (497 nucleotides) under uncultured bacterium. RNAcentral describes it as "partial 16S ribosomal RNA". It matches the Rfam family "Bacterial small subunit ribosomal RNA", at positions 28 to 507 of the family's 1533-position model. The record is from RNAcentral.
GAUGAACGCUGGCGGCGUGCCUAAUACAUGCAAGUCGAGCGAACAGACGAGGAGCUUGCUCCUCUGACGUUAGCGGCGGACGGGAGAGUAACACGUGGAUAACCUACCUAUAAGACUGGGAUAACUUCGGGAAACCGGAGCUAAUACCGGAUAAUAUAUUGAACCGCAUGGUUCAAUAGUGAAAGACGGUUUUGCUGUCACUUAUAGAUGGAUCCGCGCCGCAUUAGCUAGUUGGUAAGGUAACGGCUUACCAAGGCAACGAUGCGUAGCCGACCUGAGAGGGGGAUCGGCCACACUGGAACUGAGACACGGUCCAGACUCCUACGGGAGGCAGCAGUAGGGAAUCUUCCGCAAUGGGCGAAAGCCUGACGGAGCAACGCCGCGUGAGUGAUGAAGGUCUUCGGAUCGUAAAACUCUGUUAUUAGGGAAGAACAAAUGUGUAAGUAACUAUGCACGUCUUGACGGUACCUAAUCAGAAAGCCACGGCUAACUACGUG